GAUGAACGCUGACAGAAUGCUUAACACAUGCAAGUCUACUUGAACUUCGGUUUGGGUGGCGGACGGGUGAGUAACGCGUAAAGAACUUGCCUCACAGAUAGGGACAACAUUUGGAAACGAAUGCUAAUACCUGAUAUUAUGAUUUUAGGGCAUCCUAGAAUUAUGAAAGCUAUAUGCACUGUGAGAGAGCUUUGCGUCCCAUUAGCUAGUUGGAGAGGUAACGGCUCACCAAGGCGAUGAUGGGUAGCCGGCCUGAGAGGGUGAUCGGCCACAAGGGGACUGAGACACGGCCCUUACUCCUACGGGAGGCAGCAGUGGGGAAUAUUGGACAAUGGACCAAGAGUCUGAUCCAGCAAUUCUGUGUGCACGAUGAAGUUUUUCGGAAUGUAAAGCGCUUUCAGUUGGGAAGAAAAAAAUGACGGUACCAACAGAAGAAGAGACGGCUAAAUACGUG
This 454-nucleotide ribosomal RNA is filed under the name uncultured bacterium. RNAcentral describes it as "partial 16S ribosomal RNA". It matches the Rfam family "Bacterial small subunit ribosomal RNA", at positions 28 to 507 of the family's 1533-position model. The record is from RNAcentral.